GGAAGGAUCAUUCACAAUUACAAGUGCUCCUCACGCUCCAACUCUUCGGGGAAGGAGACAAAGGAAAGCACUGUGGACGAAAAAUCCAUUCCCACCUUGUGUGCAUUGUAACAAACAACCAAUUUCACAAUUUUAAAUUUUUUUGCAAGACCGUCUGAAUGCAUCUCAUUAGCCAAUUUGCGAAAGCAGAAAGGAAAAAAAUGAAAUACAACUUUCAACAACGGAUCUCUUGGCUCUCGCAUCGAUGAAGAACGCAGCGAAACGCGAUAUGUAAUGUGAAUUGCAGAAUUCAGUGAAUCAUCGAAUCUUUGAACGCACAUUGCGCUCUUUGGUAUUCCGAAGAGCAUGCUUGUUUGAGUAUCAGAGAACCCAUCUCGAACACUUUCUAGUGUUUGAGGAUCUGAGUAAUCACCCGCAGAGACUAUUCUUUUCAGCUUGCUGGAAAGGGAGUUUUUAUCCCGGGGGAUGCUUGAAAGGAGGUUUUUGUUUUCCAUUCCUUCCUUGGGGUUCGUAUUCCUUUGGCCUGAAAGCAUAUUUAUUUAGUCCCGUCAAAAGGAUUAUUUCUCUUUGCUGAAAGGUGUUGAAGGAGAACUUUCGAGAGGGAGUGUGCCUCAAUUUACAGGGACUCUCACAAACUCGAUCUCAAAUCAAGUAAGACUACCCGCUGAACUUAAGCAUAUCAAUAAGCGGAGGAAAAGAAACUAACAAGGAUUCCCCUAGUAACGGCGAGUGAAGCGGGAUGAGCUCAAAUUUGAAAUCUGGCUGGUUUUACUGGUCCGAGUUGUAGUUUAUAGAGGUGUUUUCGGUGGCAGCCUGGGUAUAAAUCCUUUGGAAUAGGGUAUCAUGGAGGGUGAGAAUCCCGUCUUUGACCCAGGUUCAUGCUACUAUGUGAUACAUCUUCAAAGAGUCGAGUUGUUUGGGAAUGCAGCUCUAAAUGGGUGGUAAAUUUCAUCUAAAGCUAAAUACAGGCGAGAGACCGAUAGCGAACAAGUACCGUGAGGGAAAGAUGAAAAGAACUUUGAAAAGAGAGUUAAACAGUGCGUGAAAUUGUUGAAAGGGAAACGUUUGAAGCCAGCCGUGCGGGCGGAAAAUCAGCCUAGCUGUGGUGGGGAGCUAUUGGAGGUUCGGAGCGCAAGCCCGGCCUUUGGUGGCAUCUUUGUCACAAUGGGUGCACUUUUUCGUUUGCAGGCCAACAUCAGUUUGCUUCGCUGGAAAAGGCCUUGAGGGAAUGUGACAGCUUUGGCUGUGUUAUAGCCCUGAGGAGAUACAGUGGAGUGGACUGAGGAGUCGCAGCGUGUGCUUUCGGGCAAGGUAGACUGGGUGCUGUGGGAUGGGGCGAGGUACAAUGCAUGCAUUUUGCUUCGUCUUUUCUGUCCUGCACUCGCUCAUCUCUACUCUUCCACGCUUAGGAUGUUGGCAUAAUGGAUUUAAACGACCCGUCUUGAAACACGGACCAAGGAGUCUAACAUAUAUGCGAGUGUUUGGGUGGCAAACCCAUGCGCGAAAUGAAAGUGAACGUAGGUGCGAUCCGCAAGGUGCAGCAUCGACCGAUCUUGAAUUUUUAGGAUAGAUUUGAGUAAGAGCAUAUAUGCUGGGACCCGAAAGAUGGUGAACUAUGCCUGAAUAGGGUGAAGCCAGAGGAAACUCUGGUGGAGGCUCGUAGCGAUUCUGACGUGCAAAUCGAUCGUCAAAUUUGGGUAUAGGGGCGAAAGACUAAUCGAACCAUCUAGUAGCUGGUUCCUGC
RNAcentral lists this unclassified non-coding RNA (1744 nucleotides) under uncultured fungus. RNAcentral's name for it is "sequence contains 18S rRNA gene, ITS1, 5.8S rRNA gene, ITS2, 28S rRNA gene". The stretch from base 638 to 1744 matches the Rfam family "Eukaryotic large subunit ribosomal RNA", at positions 1 to 961 of the family's 3401-position model. Lineage: Eukaryota; Fungi. The record is from RNAcentral.